GCUUGCUCCCGGAUGUUAGCGGCGGACGGGUGAGUAACACGUGGGUAACCUGCCUGUAAGACUGGGAUAACUCCGGGAAACCGGAGCUAAUACCGGAUAGUUCCUUGAACCGCAUGGUUCAAGGAUGAAAGACGGUUUCGGCUGUCACUUACAGAUGGACCCGCGGCGCAUUAGCUAGUUGGUGAGGUAACGGCUCACCAAGGCGACGAUGCGUAGCCGACCUGAGAGGGUGAUCGGCCACACUGGGACUGAGACACGGCCCAGACUCCUACGGGAGGCAGCAGUAGGGAAUCUUCCGCAAUGGACGAAAGUCUGACGGAGCAACGCCGCGUGAGUGAUGAAGGUUUUCGGAUCGUAAAGCUCUGUUGUUAGGGAAGAACAAGUGCAAGAGUAACUGCUUGCACCUUGACGGUACCUAACCAGAAAGCCACGGCUAACUACGUGCCAGCAGCCGCGGUAAUACGUAGGUGGCAAGCGUUGUCCGGAAUUAUUGGGCGUAAAGGGCUCGCAGGCGGUUUCUUAAGUCUGAUGUGAAAGCCCCCGGCUCAACCGGGGAGGGUCAUUGGAAACUGGGAAACUUGAGUGCAGAAGAGGAGAGUGGAAUUCCACGUGUAGCGGUGAAAUGCGUAGAGAUGUGGAGGAACACCAGUGGCGAAGGCGACUCUCUGGUCUGUAACUGACGCUGAGGAGCG
RNAcentral lists this ribosomal RNA (692 nucleotides) under Bacillus altitudinis. RNAcentral's name for it is "bacterial SSU rRNA". It matches the Rfam family "Bacterial small subunit ribosomal RNA", at positions 78 to 755 of the family's 1533-position model. The record is from RNAcentral. Lineage: Bacteria; Bacillati; Bacillota; Bacilli; Caryophanales; Bacillaceae. RNAcentral also lists the same sequence under 1 other name.